AAAACUUUAAGUUAAAAAAACUGUUAACCUUCAAAGAUAAAAAUAUAAGAUAAAUCUUUUAAGUUUUA
RNAcentral lists this transfer RNA (68 nucleotides) under Coelophthinia sp. 1 JPL-2022a. RNAcentral's name for it is "tRNA-Trp". Lineage: Eukaryota; Metazoa; Arthropoda; Insecta; Diptera; Mycetophilidae. The record is from RNAcentral.